Molecule: long non-coding RNA, 1984 nt
Filed under: Salmo salar (Atlantic salmon)
Lineage: Eukaryota; Metazoa; Chordata; Actinopteri; Salmoniformes; Salmonidae
Description: lncRNA (ENSSSAG00000093228.1)
Source: RNAcentral
UUAAAAUCCGUCAAGCGUACAAAGGGUAAGAAUUGUAAAAGGAAUGUGUAAACGUUAUAUUGAUUACUUUAUUUUGUGGUGCCUAAUUGAAGGGGAAAAGUGUUAAUCUGUGAUCUACUAAAUGCUCUUAAUCUAUGAGCCUGAGAUCGAUUGCUCUGGUCUCCACCCAAGUUCGCGGGGAAAUCGCGAGUUUUUCCUCAUUGCACUAAAGGUUAUUGAGGAAACAAUACCGUAUCGCUCUCGUGAUUAUUUCUCCCCUUUUUCAGGGGCGUAACAUUGUCAAGGUGUUGGAGAACCCGGAGGACCUUAUCAAUUACCAUACCCAGUUGAGCCAGCUGGUCUUGGUGUUGACAGAGGUGUUCCUGUUCGUCGACCAUCUGGGAGAUAUCAUGAACUUCUGCUGCUUCCAUAUCUUGAAAGGCAGUAUUCUGUAAUGUAUACACAGGGAAUCAGGAAGCAGGUGCAGAAGAUGAGUUUAAUAAUAAGAAACAUGAAGAUUAUCAAAACAGGAGUAGCAUACUGAACAUAAACAAAACUUUACUGCCUGAAGACUGAGGAUACUGAGAGCUAAAUAAAGGUAGACCGACAACGUUGAGUGCCGGAGUGUGAGAGCAGGAGUUAGCGUGACAUUUAUGAUGCAAAACAGGAUUUCUGUAUUUUGAAAGUUACAUAUCUUGAAAACUUGAUUGCUGACAAGUGUAAUCGAUGUGAAUUGGCUAGUAGUUAGCGGUGGUGCACGCUAAUAGCAUUUCAAUCGGUGACAUCACUCCCUCUGAGACCUGAAGUAGGGUUUCCCCUUGCAUUGCAAGGGCCGCGGCUUUUGUGGCGCGAUGGGUAACGAUGCUUCGUGGGGUGUCAGUGGUUAAUGUGUGCAGAGGGUCCCUGGUUUGAGCCCGGGUCGGGGUGAAGAGAGGGACGGAACCUUACACAAGCAAAUCAUUUUUGGGACUAUGUCAGAGGGGUUGGGUUAACUGCGGAAGACACAUUUCAGUUGAAGGCAUUCAGUUAUACAACUGACUAGGUAUCUCCUUUCCCUUUCUACAAGGUGUCGAAAGUAUUUCAUAGGGAUGCUGGCUCAUGUUGGCUGAAUAUCCAUUGGGUGGUGGACCAUUCUUGAGACACGUGAAACUUUUGAAUUUGAAAUACCCAGCAGCGUUGCAGUUCUUGACGCACUCAAACCAGUGCGCCUGGCACCUACUACCAUACCCCAAUUCAAAGGCACAUUUUGUCUUGCCUAUUCGUCCUCUGAAUGGCACAGAUACAAAAUCCCUGUCUGGAUUGUCUCAAGGCUUAAAGUCCUUCUUUGACCAGUCUCCUCCCCUUCACCUACACCAGGUAUGCCACCAGGGUUAUGCACAAUGCCGUCGGUGGUACACUCAAAAAAAACGUUGUUCACAUAAAAAAACAUAAGAAUUCUUCACAUAUUCAAACAGUACAUUUAUAUUUUCCCACGGGGCUAUACAUUUGGGUGAGUUUUUUUUCUCUCGCCUGAGUAGCCUCGUUUCACUGCCAAAAAUAAAAUGAAACCAUCUAGUGUUCAGCGAAAUAACAACACAAUGUCAAAUACAGGUAGCCUAGUCAAAUAAUGAACAUCCAAUCACAUUAACUGUCACGACUUCUGCCGAAGUCGGUCCCUUUCCUUGUUCGGGCGGCGUUCAGCGGUCGACGUCACUGGCUUUCCUGCCACCGCCGAUCCACUUUUCAUUUUCCAUUUGUUCUGUCUUUGUCUUACACACCUGGCUUCACUCAACCAAUUACUUGUUUAUUAUUUAACCCUCUGUUCCCCAUGUUGUGUUUGUGAGCGACUGUUUGUUGUAAUUUAGUCCGUCUUUGUGGGUUCGGUAUGUUACUUUGUAUAUUUUGUCUUUUUUGAGUAAAAGAACGUUGAUUACUCAUAUCUGCUGUCCUGCGCCUGACUCUCUACACCAGCUACACACAGGACCCUUACAUUAAGUGUUCCCUUUAUUUUUUUGAGCAGUAUAUA